This is a long non-coding RNA of Musa acuminata AAA Group (dessert banana), 2819 nucleotides long. RefSeq lists it as uncharacterized. The transcript is spliced from 3 exons. Lineage: Eukaryota; Viridiplantae; Streptophyta; Magnoliopsida; Zingiberales; Musaceae. The record is from RefSeq and is a predicted model, not a curated record.
UAUUUUCAAAGAUUGAUUGAAGGUCGGGUUACCAUCUAUUGAGGAUCAAGGAGGAGAAUAUUUCGGUCACUCUUGGAUAAUUGUGUAAUUGUAUUGUAUUGAUGAAACUAUUUGAGAGCAGGAGGAGGAAAUAAAGAAAUCAUAAUCCUCAUCUUUUCAUCGAUUGAGCUAUGACCAAUUUAGAGGAUUAAAUUUUCUUUUAAGGGGGGGAGAGUGUAAUAUCCCUCACUUUUAAAAAUUUAUUAAUAAGGAUUUAUAUGUAAAUUGGAGGACCUAUAUGUAAAUAUAAAAAUUUCAAGGACUAAACUGUUAAGUUGUAAAAAGAAAAAAAAUAAAGAAAACUAAAAAUUUCGGUUUUAUCCCACCGCCUCCCACGUUCUCUGUUCCCGAAACUGAGAGAGGAGCUGUGGGGCGUGGGGAGAAGAAGAAGAGAAGUAGAGGGAGAAGAGAAGAAAAGAAGAAGAAGAGGGAAAAGAAGAGAGGAAGAAGACGGAGAAGAGAAGAAAAGAAGAAGAAGAAGAAGAGAGGGAAGAGGGAGAGGGAAGAGAGAUAGCUGCAGUAGCUAGGGCUGCAGCACCUCUGUUUCGUGUAGGAGGAAACAGAGGAGUUCAUGUGUGGGGCGUCGGGGAGGAGAAGGGAAGAAGAGGAGAAGAAGAGAAGCAGAAGAAGAAGAAGAAGAAGAAGAAGAAGAAGAAGAAGAAGAAGAAAAGAGGAGGUGGCUGCGGCAAGGGCUGCAGCGAGGAGCUGUGGGGCGUUGGGGAGGAGAAAGGAAGAAGAGGAGAAGAAGAAAAGAAGAGAGGGAAAAGAAGAGAGGAGGAAGAAGAGGGAGAAGAGAAGAAUAGAAGAAGAAGAAAAAGAGAGGGAAGUGGGAGAGGAGCGAGAGGUGGCAGCAACUAGGGCUGUAGCAUCUCUGUUUCCUGCAGGUGGAAACAGAGGAGAGGUGUGGGGCGUUCGAAGAGGAGAAGAAGAAGAAGAGGAAGAGAAGAAGAAGAGGUUGUGAUACCUCUGUUUCUUGCAGAGGAAACAGAGGAGAGGGUGUGUGUGACGACGAGGAGGCGGAGGGAAGAAGAAGAGGAGAAGAAGAGAAGGAAAAGGAGGAGCUGCGGCUGCGGCGGUGGCAGCUGCAGCUGGAAGAGAAGGAGAGGAAGAGAAGGUGAGGAAAAAGAGAAAAAGAAGAAAGGAAGGAGAAGGAAGAAGGAGAAGAAGAGGGAAAAGAGAGGGAAGAGGGAGAGGAGCGAGAGGUGGCAGCAGCUAGGGCUGCAGCAUCUCUGUUUCCGCAGGUGGAAACAGAGGAGAGGUGUGGGGCGUUCGAAGAGGAGAAGAAGAAGAAGAGGAAGAGAAGAAGAAGAGGAAGCAGGAGAAGAGGUUUUGAUACCUCUAUUUCCUGCAAAGGAAAUAGAGGAGAGGGUGUGUGUGACGCCGGGAAGGAGGAGGGAAGAAGAAGAGGAGAAGAAGAGAAGGGAAAGGAAGGGGCUGCGGCUGUGGCGAUGGCAGCUGCAGUUGGAAGAGAAGGAGAGGACGAUGAGCAAGGGAGGAAGAAGAGGCUGCAGCCGUGGCUGAGGCUACGACUGCAGCAGUGCAGCUGGGAAAGAAGGGAAGGAAAGGAAGAAGAAGAGAAAUGAAAAGGGAAGAAGAGAGGAAGAGGAGAAGGGGAGGCAGCUGCGGCAGUGGCAGUUGCAGCUGGAAGAGAAGGAGAGGAAACAGAGCAGGGGAGGAAGAAGAGGCUACCGCUGUGGUGGCUACGGCCAUGGCUGCGACUGCAGCUGCGACUGCUACGUUGGCUGUGGUAGCUGCGACUGCUACGUUGGCUGUGGUAGCUGCGACAGCGGUGGUGGCUGCAGUAGCUGCUUUUGGGAAAGAGAAAGAAAGAAAAAGAGAAAGAAAAGGGGGCUGUGGCCGUGAUUGCAGCUGCGGUGGUGGCGGCUGCGGUCGUGGCAGCUGUGUUUGGGAAAGAAAAAGUAGGAACGAGAGAAAGGAGGAAGGAAGUAGUACAGUGGAAGGGGAUGCGGUUGUGACAGCAACUGCGGUCGUGGCUACGACUGUGGUAGUGGCAACGGCGAUGGCUGCGACAGUUGUGUUUGAAAAAGAAAACGAAGGAAUGAGAGUAAGAGAGAGCAGUUGACUAUGCCUCUAUGUUCUGCAUGAGCUGCAAUUGUGGAGGAAAAAGAAAAGACGUAGAAAACGAAACAGAGAGAGGACACGGAGGAAAAGUAUAAGGAUUUGGGCUGGCACCAUCUUUGGAUCUUCGGAUCGAAAUAUUUGAAAGUAGCUGUGGUCGUGGCUACGACUGUGGUAGUGACAGCGGCGAUGGCUGCGACAGCUGUGUUUGAAAAAGAAAACGAAGGAAUGAGAGUAAGAGAGAGCAGUUGACUAUGCCUCUAUGUUCUGCAUGAGCUACAAUUGUGGAGGAAUAAGAAAAGACAUGUAGAAAAUGAAACAGAGAGAGGACAUGGAGGAAAAGUAUAAGGAUUUGGGCUGGCACCAUCUUUGGAUCUUCGGAUCGAAAUAUUUGAAAGGUCAGCUUGUCACUCUUUGAGAUGUUUGAAUUGGGCUGAGGCAGUGGAGAGCUAUUCUGAAUUAUAGGCAAGUCUUGUUGGUUAUUAUGUUAUUGUUGUAUAAGCAUAUUUUGUAUGAAAUGAAAUAUUGUCGAUGAAUCAAAAUGGAUAUACUAUGUAAAAGUGUUAGAAGAUCUCUCUUAUUUGGAAUUUCAGAAUGUUAAGUCUAAUUUAUGAUGAUAUGAACUUGUGGUGAAUAGUUGGAGUUCUGAUUGUAUAAUUUAUUUAGCUUAUGGAUUUAUAAAUGUUGUUCAUGUUUGUCAA